CACACCUGUUGUUGAAGCGGCUGUAGGAUGCUAUCCAUGAAAAUGAAUCCCACAGUCUAUAUGUCGAGAGGAAGGGAUGGUUUAAGGAUGCUGUCAGGGUUCAUACUGAUGGACGAGGCACAGGACACUGACUACUAGCAAAGCCAUAAGCCAUUUGGCUUACACACGUCUGGCCCACAUUCCUGCAAGAGGUCUGCAUUUACUACGGUGAGAGAGUCCAUCAAAGAAAAAGAGAGAGAUGUGAAGAGAAGAUUCUUGGAAAUUUGAUGACUGGAAAAAUGAUAGUUCUUGCCAAGGAUUUUUCUGAAGACUGGAAAAAACAACAGGACUGGGGACCAGCUAUCUGUGGGGUGUUGAGCCUGGAGGAACCCGAUGUCAGUGGAAGACACUUUUCACCUCAAAGCUUUUUCUUGGGAGAUACCAAGUUCAACAGCAACUGAGCCCUCUAAGGACAUGGCUGAAGAGGAUCUCAUCACAAGUUAACAGCUGAAUUCCCUGUUGACUCUUACAGGAUGCACCCACUCUGUCAGGAGAAUACAAGGAAUGAAGGCAGAAGCUAGAACCUCCACGGUCAACAGGUGGCUUUAGUCCAGUUCAAUUAAUUAAUCUACACCAAUUUGUAUAAAUCUGUGAAUUUAUGACAAAGCUAUGAUUUUUGGCUUCUGGAGGUCAAGCGUUUGAUACUUCUGAGGAUACUGAAUGACCAAUAUAUGCAAAUUUCUGACAUUUGCUUGCCCUUAUAUUUUUUCCCAAAUAUAAAUAUACUGUCUUACUAAAUAAAGAUAUUCUACUAGAA
Non-coding RNA from Taeniopygia guttata (zebra finch), 796 nucleotides. The record is from RefSeq and is a predicted model, not a curated record. Lineage: Eukaryota; Metazoa; Chordata; Aves; Passeriformes; Estrildidae.